GUGAAUCAUCAAAUUUUUGAACGCAUAUUGCACUCUCUGGUAUUCCGGAGAGUAUGCCUGUUUGAGGGUCAGUUAAUUAAAAAUCGGGGUUGUUAUCACCUUUUUAGUGGUGAUGCUUCGGAAUUGAGUCGUCUUACUUUUUGUUAAGUGACUUAAAAUUUUUGUAUGAUAUCUAACGUAUUUAAAUUUAUUUGGUACGUCUUUGUAAUAUCAAAUGUUUAUUAGGUGUGGUCAUCCUCAUGUGACUCACGUCUAUAAUUUUUCAUCUAAUGACCUCAAAUCAGGUAAGAAUACCCGCUGA
RNAcentral lists this unclassified non-coding RNA (301 nucleotides) under Glomeraceae sp. RNAcentral's name for it is "partial contains 5.8S ribosomal RNA, internal transcribed spacer 2, and large subunit ribosomal RNA". The stretch from base 1 to 71 matches the Rfam family "5.8S ribosomal RNA", at positions 84 to 154 of the family's 154-position model. Lineage: Eukaryota; Fungi; Glomeromycota; Glomeromycetes; Glomerales; Glomeraceae. The record is from RNAcentral.